AGUGAACGCUGGCGGUAGGCCUAACACAUGCAAGUCGAACGGCAGCACAGUAAGAGCUUGCUCUUACGGGUGGCGAGUGGCGGACGGGUGAGGAAUACAUCGGAAUCUACUUUUUCGUGGGGGAUAACGUAGGGAAACUUACGCUAAUACCGCAUACGACCUACGGGUGAAAGCAGGGGAUCUUCGGACCUUGCGCGAUUGAAUGAGCCGAUGUCGGAUUAGCUAGUUGGCGGGGUAAAGGCCCACCAAGGCGACGAUCCGUAGCUGGUCUGAGAGGAGGAUCAGCCACACUGGAACUGAGACACGGACCAGACUCCUACGGGAGGCAGCAGUGGGGAAUAUUGGACAAUGGGCGCAAGCCUUAUCCAGCCAUACCGCGUGGGUGAAGAAGGCCUUCGGGUUGUAAAGCCCUUUUGUUGGGAAAGAAAAGCAGCAGGUUAAUACCCCGCUGUUCUGACGGUACCCAAAGAAUAAGCACCGGCUAACUUCGUG
RNAcentral lists this ribosomal RNA (492 nucleotides) under uncultured bacterium. Its description in RNAcentral is "partial 16S ribosomal RNA". It matches the Rfam family "Bacterial small subunit ribosomal RNA", at positions 29 to 507 of the family's 1533-position model. The record is from RNAcentral.